GUAGUAAACAAAGCCACUACUCGGAUACGAGAAGACGAUAGGUAUUAUCCAAGCUGGGCAUAUCACUGUACCGUGUGUACCUGAAUAUCAAUGAAUGAAAGCAGUGACGCCAUUUUAGACAAACGCACUUACUCAAACUCCUGGCUUAUUCUACUCUCAUGCUCAUGAGUAACUGAGAGAAAUAUCCGUGAUAUCCGUUCACUGAGCCACAUUAUACAUACACAGGUCACGAGAUAGCUAUGUAAGAUGCAUACCAAUAAAAAUGACGACUGGGUGAUGCCUAGCCUGUACUGGGGCUGGGGAGCAAGAGCAAGCUCGCUGCUGUGUGCUGUUAUGUACUAUGUAAUGACUAUGUACUAGUGUCUGUUGUGUGUGUAGACAGUAGACGUAUAAGCUAAGCGUAGAUAGAUAUGAGGAUGACGAGAAUUGAGAAUACGAAAGCGCCCGAGCCGGCUGCUGGACUUCUAUUCGUUUACACUCGUACAGUGAGUAGUGAACUCAGCUUGCUACAAUCUACAACACACACUGUAGGUAGAUGUAGACUGACUGGCCCGCCAGUGCUGCCAACUGCGCACUGACACCCACACACGUCCUGGGAUAAGGUGCAGGAUUUACAAGGAAAGACAAAGAGCAACAAGUGCGGUCAGCUCGCGCAUGCGCGGAAAUUGACAGCUGAGUUUCCAUGGAAGCAAUAGAAGUUCUCUAACGCAAGCAAUUAGUCACAUCUUUAUUCAGCUUGGCGUAAUGAAUACUCGGAUUAAAGUGUCUCUUACUCGAGUCUUGUACACUUAGAAAGUUACAUGUCGAGUAGAGUUAAAACUGAGUAAAAAACACUCUUUGAGAUGCGACAAGAGUUGUUGAGUGAAAAUGGUACUGAGUGGACUAUUUACUUGAAAAAUUCUCUCGAUUAAAUGUUACACCGACAUCCCGGUUGAUUACCUCCAUCAAUUUUUUGACCCGUUCAUUAAUUUUUCUAAAAUAAAGGUAAUUAUUUCUUCUUUACCUACUAAAUUA
Molecule: long non-coding RNA, 1014 nt
Organism: Cotesia glomerata
Lineage: Eukaryota; Metazoa; Arthropoda; Insecta; Hymenoptera; Braconidae
Exons: 5
Source: RefSeq, a predicted model, not a curated record